GAGCACGAAUUUGUUUAGUGGAGUGUAGCCUUUCCCCUUAAAGGCCUAGUUUAAGGAAUGUUUGGCAUGAUAAUCCCCAGUUGUGCAUAUCCUGCUAAUUGCACUGGUGUCACAGUAGGGGCCAAUUGACCUUACGACAGCGGCUUCUAAGCCACGCCCCCUGAUAUCAAGGGAGCGAACUCUGUCUAUGUCCGUCAAACAAACGAGGAAGUAAUGGCGUCUCGCGUCGUUUCGCUUUCCGAUAUUCCUGACAAAUUAUCAUACAUGUCACAUAACAAUGCGAAAAAAAUAGAAGUCAAAGGAAUUUGUAACUGGCUGCUACAUCGGAAGGCUCGAUAUAUCUUUAGAAAAUGACGAUAUCUAACAUUUACGGGGUGAAAUCUAUCCAAGUCAGAGAAAAUCGGAUAGCCGCCAUGUUGUCAACAUUGACAUCGAUACAAAGGAAAAGCGUGUGUGUGACGCAUACUGUAAAUGCAAACAAGGAAAUUGUGGAACAUGUUCACACACUCUGGCUGUAAAAGUAGACCUGGGAGGAAGAGUGCCCCCGGUGUGGGGCUCGAACUCACAACCACCAGAACACUAGCCCGGCGCUCUAACCAACUAAGCUGACCGGGCAGCUGGUUCUAACCCACACACACUACCCUCCCCCCAUUUACCGGUUAAGGCUGGUGGAGGGUCUCCUGCUAUUUACCGUUGACACCAUUAAAGUAUUCUGAUUGAUGGAGAUAAGGAAGUCCCCUUAUUAUUGUCUUCAACAAGCCUACCGCCACAGGGGACCUAGCAUCAGACCGGAAACCGCCCCCCCCCCACACACACACACAUGAUAUUUGCCAGUCCAGGCAAUAUCAACCGCAAGAGAAAACCAGUGAUGACAAGUUUUACAAAUAAUCGGAAAGUGUGGUCUUUUGAAGAGAGUUCUUGAAGUUGUUCAGCAUGUUGUUUUGAUGGAUUCUUGGAAGGAUGUACCUCUAUGAUGUUAGCUUCAGUUCUGGAGUAUAACACCAGUUGUUGCGUAUUUAAUAUCAGAUUUAUUAAAUACAUUGUUGUUUUGCAAACAUUACUUAAACUUUGAUAUUUCUUUGGUGUUUAUGUAUGAUGUUGUAGGUGAAUAUCUCUUUAUUGCAAUGGCAAAUAUAUUUUAAAAUAUAUAGCAUUAGCAGAAGUUAUUUUUCACUGUUAAAGCUGCACUUUCACAGAUUGAUCACUUUGACAACUUACACAGGAUUCGAUUGCAUUUAUCAUAUUUUGGCUCGGAGAAGUUUGCUUUGUGAUUUAUAUAUUAGGUCUUAAUUUAAAGAAUGCCAAAAUAAGCCGAUUCUGAGACAAAAAGUGUCAAACUAGAAUUCUGUGAGAGUGCAACUUUAAGAAUACUGUUAAUCGAGUGUGCAUGUGAUCCGGACUCUGAACAUUGGAUGAACUAUCAUUAAAUAUUGUAGAUUUACGUAAAUGGCCCAAAAUAUAAGAAUAACAAUGAAAAUAUGUA
Long non-coding RNA from Mya arenaria, 1483 nucleotides. RefSeq lists it as uncharacterized. The record is from RefSeq and is a predicted model, not a curated record. The transcript is spliced from 3 exons. NCBI's taxonomy places the organism in Eukaryota, Metazoa, Mollusca, Bivalvia, Myida, Myidae.